RNAcentral lists this ribosomal RNA (270 nucleotides) under uncultured prokaryote. RNAcentral describes it as "partial 16S ribosomal RNA". It matches the Rfam family "Bacterial small subunit ribosomal RNA", at positions 524 to 792 of the family's 1533-position model. The record is from RNAcentral.
UACGUAGGGUGCGAGCGUUGUCCGGAAUUACUGGGCGUAAAGAGCUCGUAGGUGGUUUGUCGCGUCGUCUGUGAAAUUCCGGGGCUUAACUCCGGGCGUGCAGGCGAUACGGGCAUAACUUGAGUACUGUAGGGGAGACUGGAAUUCCUGGUGUAGCGGUGAAAUGCGCAGAUAUCAGGAGGAACACCGGUGGCGAAGGCGGGUCUCUGGGCAGUAACUGACGCUGAGGAGCGAAAGCAUGGGUAGCGAACAGGAUUAGAUACCCUGGUA